Molecule: ribosomal RNA, 360 nt
Filed under: Clostridioides difficile
Lineage: Bacteria; Bacillati; Bacillota; Clostridia; Peptostreptococcales; Peptostreptococcaceae
Description: bacterial SSU rRNA
Rfam family: Bacterial small subunit ribosomal RNA
Source: RNAcentral
UUUUAUUUGAGAGUUUGAUCCUGGCUCAGGAUGAACGCUGGCGGCGUGCCUAACACAUGCAAGUUGAGCGAUUUACUUCGGUAAAGAGCGGCGGACGGGUGAGUAACGCGUGGGUAACCUCCCCUGUACACACGGAUAACAUACCGAAAGGUAUGCUAAUACGGGAUAAUAUAUUUGAGAGGCAUCUCUUGAAUAUCAAAGGUGAGCCAGUACAGGAUGGACCCGCGUCUGAUUAGCUAGUUGGUAAGGUAACGGCUUACCAAGGCGACGAUCAGUAGCCGACCUGAGAGGGUGAUCGGCCACAUUGGAACUGAGACACGGUCCAAACUCCUACGGGAGGCAGCAGUGGGGAAUAUUGCA